RNAcentral lists this ribosomal RNA (276 nucleotides) under uncultured Acholeplasma sp. Its description in RNAcentral is "partial 16S ribosomal RNA". It matches the Rfam family "Bacterial small subunit ribosomal RNA", at positions 1107 to 1382 of the family's 1533-position model. The record is from RNAcentral. Lineage: Bacteria; Bacillati; Mycoplasmatota; Mollicutes; Acholeplasmatales; Acholeplasmataceae.
AUUGCUAGUUACCAGUCAUUAAGUUGGGGACGUCUAGCGAGACUGCCAGUGAUAAACUGGAGGAAGGUGGGGAUGACGUCAAAUCAUCAUGCCCCUUAUGACCUGGGCUACAAACGUGAUACAAUGGCUGGAACAAAGGGAUGCGAAGCAGUGAUGUGGAGCGAAACCCAUAAAAACAGUCUCAGUUCGGAUUGAAGUCUGCAACUCGACUUCAUGAAGUCGGAAUCGCUAGUAAUCGCGGAUCAGAACGCCGCGGUGAAUACGUUCUCGGGGUUU